This is a non-coding RNA of Salmo salar (Atlantic salmon), 54 nucleotides long. The record is from Rfam. NCBI's taxonomy places the organism in Eukaryota, Metazoa, Chordata, Actinopteri, Salmoniformes, Salmonidae.
UGCAUUCAUUACUGUAAGUCGCUCUGGAUAAGAGCGUCUGCUAAAUAGACUAAA